ACCCGCUGAACUUAAGCAUAUCAAUAAGCGGAGGAAAAGAAACCAACAGGGAUUGCCCUAGUAACGGCGAGUGAAGCGGCAACAGCUCAAAUUUGAAAUCUGGCGCAAGCCCGAGUUGUAAUUUGUAGAGGAUGCUUCUGGGCAGCGGCCGGUCUAAGUUCCUUGGAACAGGACGUCACAGAGGGUGAGAAUCCCGUAUGUGAUCGGUUGGCACCCGCUACGUAGCUCCUUCGACGAGUCGAGUUGUUUGGGAAUGCAGCUCUAAAUGGGAGGUAAAUGCCUUCUAAAGCUAAAUACCGGCCAGAGACCGAUAGCGCACAAGUAGAGUGAUCGAAAGAUGAAAAGCACUUUGGAAAGAGAGUUAAAAAGCACGUGAAAUUGUUGAAAGGGAAGCGCAUGCAACCAGACUUGUCCGCGGUGUUCCGCCGGUCUUCUGACCGGUCUACUCGCCGCAGGCGGGCCAGCAUCAUCUGGGAGCGCCGGAUAAAGGUAGCGGGAAUGUGGCCCCUCGGGGUGUUAUAGCUCGCUACACAAUACGGCGCCUCCCGGGUGAGGUCCGCGCUUCGGCUAGGAUGCUGGCGUAAUGGUUGUAUGCGGCCCGUCUUGAAACACGGACCAAGGAGUCUACCAUCUAUGCGAGUGUUCGGGUGUCAAACCCCUACGCGCAAUGAAAGUGAACGGAGGUGGGAACCGCAAGGUGCACCAUCGACCGAUCCUGAUGUCUUCGGAUGGAUUUGAGUAAGAGCAUAGCUGGUGGGACCCGAAAGAUGGUGAACUAUGCCUGAAUAGGGUGAAGCCAGAGGAAACUCUGGUGGAGGCUCGCAGCGGUUCUGACGUGCAAAUCGAUCGUCAAAUUUGGGUAUAGGGGCGAAAGACUAAUCGAACCAUCUAGUAGCUGGUUCCUGCCGAAGUUUCCCUCAGG
This 922-nucleotide ribosomal RNA is filed under the name Neocatenulostroma microsporum. Its description in RNAcentral is "LSU rRNA". It matches the Rfam family "Eukaryotic large subunit ribosomal RNA", at positions 23 to 977 of the family's 3401-position model. The record is from RNAcentral. Lineage: Eukaryota; Fungi; Ascomycota; Dothideomycetes; Mycosphaerellales; Teratosphaeriaceae.